RNAcentral lists this unclassified non-coding RNA (4418 nucleotides) under Hevea brasiliensis (rubber tree). Lineage: Eukaryota; Viridiplantae; Streptophyta; Magnoliopsida; Malpighiales; Euphorbiaceae. The record is from RNAcentral.
UAUAAUGUUAUAUUAGAUAAGCUCAAAAACGAUUGUCAAAAUUUAUCCGGAAAAUUACUUGGCAACUCAUUUAGAGGUAUGAAGUUGAUAGGCAAUGAGAAUAUGAUAAAGUAAAGCAGCUUUGAACCCUUUUCUCAAAUAUAAACAAUUUGCCCUGAACAUUAAGGAAAGCAAUUCUUGUUUCUCAUGCCAACAAUGAGAAACCCUUUUCAUAGAAUUUUUGGUAACGUUGCAUCACAUUUUCAUCUUCAACUGGAAUACAUUACCCCCAAUCCAUGUGCAUUUCCCUGUUUCCUCAUUUUUCUUCAUUUGGAAUUUGAAUCCUAGAAAUUAAAAUCCCAAGUCUAUUCCGUGGAUUUAAAAUUAUCUUACAUUCAUUCACUUUUCCAAACCGAUGCUUUGAUUCAACUAGCAUAGUGCAUUUACGUAUAGAAAGAUAAGUCAUCAUCUCAAAUCCAGUGAAAAAGACAGACCCACAAACCAUGAAGCAAAUGCAAAUUUCUUAUCCCAGAUUUCACCAUGGAGUGUAGCUUUAGCAGGAAUCCAGAGCACCAAAAAUCACAUGGGCUUAUCUUCCAAAUGAUGCAACGCCGUGGUCCCCUCCCAAAAACCAUUAUUUCCAGAGGCCUUUAAAGUUUUUGAACCAUUCCAUGGAGAAAAGGGCAUCACUCACGCUUACCAUCUCACAUCGCUGUCUCCAUACUACAAAUAUGUGCAUGCCACAUGUGUACACAGGCAUAAGACAACAGAAAAACCAUGCAAAUUUAUAUUACAUCCAAACAACCAAAUCCAGUCACUAGAUACAGAGCCCCAUGAGCUUCAAGGAAAACAAGUAGACAAACAUGCAUGUUCUUCCACAAUCAAAUUAUAACACCCAUCAAAAAGAAAGGAAGCCAGUCCACCGGUGACAAUGCCUCAGAAGAAACAUGAAAUGGCAAAUCAAAGGUCCCCGGGAGGUUUGCCAGGAUGAAAUAUGAAGGAGGGCCUCACUCGUGCACUGUUACAUAAAAAAGUGGCAACCCUACAAAAGAGAAAUAAAAUGACAAGAAUACAAAAAGGGCGGAAAAGUGAAGGUUGGGUCCCAAAACACCCAAGCAGCGUGCGUUCACCCUCCUUCCAAGAGGGGGGCCCUCCAAAAUAACCAGUCUUCUUAUUCACACAGCCAUUCUCCCACGCCCAGGUGUGAGUGCUACUUUAUCACGGCCCUAAGACACGGCUUAAUGAUUCAACUUCUUACUUUAUGGGACGUAUUAUGCUGCAUUGCCUUUCUCUUUACAAGGACCAUGGAUGAUAUUGACAAUCAAAGCUUACUGAUUUCGAAAUCAAUCAUUGAUUAUAGACUACAGUACACGUUGCAUGAUCCUCACCUCUCUCUUUCCAAUUUGCACAUCCUUUGCGAGAAACUCUUCAAUCUUGAGCAAAUCCUUCCUUCAUGCCCAGUACAUGUUCACCUGACUUAUUCUGUUCACACCAUUAACUUCUAAUAAUUAACAAGUAACUAAUAAACCUAGUACAGCAACUAGUAUUACUUGAAGUUUUGCCACUCAUGAAGCAUCAAGUCCUAAAGCUUUUGCUUUGAGCUUCAAGGAUUUCAGGUAAUUAAUAGCUUCAUCGAGAACAACAGUUGCAUCCUUGCCCUUUCCACCUGGAAUUAUGUUCUGCAGAAUGCUCACAGUCUCUCGUAUUCUUUCUUUUCUUAUCCUUUUCUUGGUUGGUUCUGAAUUCAUCUCACCUGAGGUCCAAUCCAAGCCAUCUUCACACCUAGAUUCAGCAUCAUCCUCAAACUCGCAACUUCUGAUGGGUUUCAUAGAACUAGCAGUGUCCAUUAGUGCUGGUAAAACACUGUAACCACCUUCAAACAGUUUUCGCUUUUUAGUUGAACCAUCGGAACUUGCAACCUCUUCUAUGCUUCCCUCAAACCAAUCUUGAUUAUUGUGAGCUGUCAUUGUACUAGGUGAGUGACCUGUACUGGUAACUUCAUCAUCAUCAGUGGAAUCACUAUCAUCAUCCGAGUACAGCAAAGCAUUCAGUUCUUCAGUGUCCUCAUGCAUAUCACUUUGUAAUUCAGUAUCAUUUUUUCCUCCAAGUUGGUUAGCUGAGAUAGCCUCUAAAUGAAUAUUUUCCUUAGUCCCAUGAUCUUCCCUCUUCAAAUUAUAUGCAGCAAUUGGAUUUGGACUCCACGAAGUAAAGCACUGGACAGGAGCCCCAGUACCAGAACUAAAGAUCAGAGUUGUUUGAUCACCUGACUGAUCAAAAACCAGGAAUUUCUUCUGAUGACAACCAGGCUCUACCUUGGGUGCAAUGGCCUCCUUAUGAUCGUCACAAGGGACAGUAACAAGUUUUUCUUUGAGACCAGAGUUCAAAGCAGGCAUGAAAGCCUGUCGGAAACAAGGCAAACGGUAAAACCAACCAUGAGGCUCCUCUGCUUGACCAACAUGCAAGUGAGAUAGCUCAGGGGGUGGAUAUACAGGUAAAGUCCCCUUUAUAGAAACCAUGUCAGUGCCAGAGUUCAUAAAUGAAGGGGCUGUAUACUGCUGCCCCAAGUUAUAUGGAGCACCCAAAUAAUUCAAAUUCGGCGAUUGCCAAUCAAAUUGUUGCUGAUGAAACCAGGAUCCCCAGUCCUCACCCAUCCAACUAUAACAAUCACCUAUACAGAAGGAUUUCUGCAGUAAUAAAAGAGGCAGUUCACUUGCUGUUUCUUUCAGUAAUAAUAAAAAAAAAACAAAAGACUCCAGCUUAACUUGAAAACAGUGGCCCAAAAAGUAAAUCUACGUGACAGGUUUAAGCAAAUGACGGAAAUAUUCAGCCUGGCAAUCUUGAAGAGGAUGAAAGCAUGCUAUGACUCUAACUAUAAUGGUGGCACUCCCAGCAAUCCCAUUUUCGUGUUUUAAUGCCCGAAAAUUUGUUUGGCUCGCUGCUUGGCACACCAUAACUACUUCCCAACCCUUCAAUAUGAUGGAAACAACAAGAAUACGAUCUUUCCUGGGGGCAGUGAACUGAAAGCUUGCAAUCUGUGUAGACUAGGCAAUAUCAAUCGAACAACAGAAGACCAGAUUGAUAGACAACAAUAAGAUGCUCAAUACAAGGAGCCGGAGAGAGUAGACCAAUAAAAUAAAAUAAUCACAGGGAUUUAUUGCCAAGCAAGAGAAUGAGAACAAUUGGACAAAGAUAAAAGAUGGAUUCCCUUAUUCAGCUAAUCUGGCGGACAUAGCAGGGAAUGACAAUGAAAAAAGUGGAUCCCAUGGAAACUAACUGGACAAAAACAAGCUGCAGAAUUGGAGGGUAUGCUUAUUGGAAAAGAAAAUUACAGGAUUACUCUACAAUAGAGGUUCAAGGAGAUAACUUUCCUAUACACAUCAACAGAAAGACUAAAAAACCACCGCAUACUGUUUUUCUUUGCCAAAAGAUCGCCACUGCUGUUAAUUGCACCAAUACCACUUCAAGGACCCUGCAAGAGGGUUUACAAAUCAUUGAAAAAACCACAUGCAAAAUUUCCAGGAAACUAUAAUAUUAGAUCUUAUUUCUGUGAUUGAGAAACGAAUAAAAGACACAAGUUCGGUAACAAGAAUAAACAGGCACUAUAUAAUCAUUGAAUAAUGAAGCUCCACUGCUUAAAUUAAAAGAAAAAAAAAAAAGAGAGUUAUUGUGAGAAAUUUUUUGGUCAUCCUCAGAUUUCUCAGCUGACCAAACAAAACGAAUUCAAAAUACCAAAGCAAAUUCAGCUUCAUGGUUUACAGCUAUUUGCGUGCAGAAAGUUAGCCAUUCAUAUUUAGCAGAAGGAUCUCACUUUUACCCUAUAGAUUAUAGAUGAAAAUAUGGUCUAAAGAAGUAACAGAACAAAAGCAAAGCAUCUUACUAGAAAAUUAGCAGGGAAAAAUAAACAUUAAUUGGAAGGAAAAGGACAGAAAAGAGUGGUUGAGAGAGAGAGAAACAGAGAGAAAUUCAGAUAAAUGGGAAUAAAAAAAUUGAAGCUGAAACCAUCAAAAGUGAAGGAAGAAAGGAAAAAAGCCGAAAAUUUAGAUCAGAAAUAAACAGAAAAUCAAAACCCAUUAACCAAAAAGGACGAUUCAGUCAAAAUAUCAGCAAAGAAUAUCAACCACACAAAUCAACAUAAAGCCAAAGAGAACUUACAGUGAAAAAAGAACCCGAUUCAGUCCAAGAAUAAACCUUCAAGCCACCCAAUUCCACAAACCAAAUAACCAGAUCAAGCACAGCACAAGCAGACACUUAAAAACAGCUUCAGCUUCACAGUUGCAGAUAGAGAGAAAAAGAGAGCAAUCAAAGUGGAAACAUUGGGAUGCACGGAAGCUAAGGUUAUAUAGAAACCAAAUUGACAGGAAUGUCCUGGGCCUGAACAAUGGUGCUGAUGGCAAUGGCAUUAAAAAAAAAUAAGAGAAAAAGCGAAAGCCUCAUACGUG